UCCAUUGAUAUAUUGAUCGAUCGGUUUCUCUACAGUCUCGCAGUAGAAACAACGUUUUACCAUUAAAAAAAUAUACAAAGAAAAACUCUCCCACAAAAGAAAAACAAAAGAAAAAGAGAAACACAAUGAGAUUUGG
Molecule: non-coding RNA, 136 nt
Filed under: Ditylum brightwellii
Lineage: Eukaryota; Bacillariophyta; Thalassiosirophyceae; Lithodesmiales; Lithodesmiaceae
Source: RNAcentral